UCAGAUGUAAGCUGAAUUGAGAAGACAGAAACAAGACAAGUACAGGAAAGGAGGCCUCCAGGAGGCCCUUGGGUAGAUGAUGUGCUGAGAGAAGGAGGAGAAGCACUCUGAAAGAUGAGUAACCAGUGAGGAAAGAGACAUUCUACUUCUAGGAUGAGCAGGUUCUUACAGGAACUGUCUUCUCUCAACUGUAGGUGGUACUAUCAUUGGGUAGAACUUCAGCUACCAGGGAAAGGAUGCUCAAGAGGCCGAAGGAGAAAACAGGAAAUGAAAUCUCCAGCUCUGAAAACUGACAGCUACUUCUGUAAAGAAGCAAAAUAUGUCCAACAAAAUGAAAAUGGCAGUCCUGUGAAUGAGCCAACUCCACACUGUAGCAAAAUACAUUAAGGAAACAAGUGACCAGCAUGGUGAACAAAAACAAACCCCCAACUACCCACUGCUUGGGUUCUCUAAACACUGCCACUAUGAACAACUGAAAAGCAAGCCAGCAGCAGGGUUUGAGGGACAUCUGUCUGGGCUCCCAGGAGCUGCUCUUCAGAACUGGGUACUAUUUAGUUCUCUACUGUACUCAUUAACAAAAGAAGGAAAAAAAAAAAUCACAUGUUGAGUUUUAGCAAGUAAGUGAUCAACUUCACUUCUGUUCUGGAACAUUUUCUUGUUCUUGAAGAAUUGGGGGUAGGGGGUGGGGAGGAUGGCCCAAAAUAAGAAUGUAAUUCUUUUAUAUCAAUGUUUCA
Non-coding RNA from Peromyscus maniculatus bairdii (prairie deer mouse), 734 nucleotides. The record is from RefSeq and is a predicted model, not a curated record. NCBI's taxonomy places the organism in Eukaryota, Metazoa, Chordata, Mammalia, Rodentia, Cricetidae.